CGUGUCUUUAUAAAAAAAACAGUUACGAAAAUCAUCCACAGUCAAUCUCAUCUCUUCGCCUUCUUCCCUAAAAUAAAUUUCCUAUUUACCAUUGAUCUCUUCAUCUCCUUCCCUAUUCAAACAUAGAGAAAGCUCCGGUGACUUCAACGCCGCCGUUUAUAAUCACCAUAGUAGAAGAUCGCUGAACUAAAACCGGAUUCGGCCAAGGGUUACAGCCGUCGGUGAUGAUCAGUUACGGUUCAAUCAGUGCGAAUACGCCGUACGAGUGAGUGAGCUUGACAUCGAUUAAAUCAACAAAGGGUUUGAUUCGGGUAAGCAUAUGUGCAAGCUUUUGCAUGGAGGUCAUGCGCCACCCCACCCCUAAUAAGUUUGGAGAUGCUUUCGACGGGCCGGAGAUGUGGGCGAGCCUGACGUCGAACCUUCAACGCACCGCCUCUAAUCGAUCAGGUUCCAUCUCUCUUUUUUGAAUCUUCCCUCGCGACUUCCAAUCAACUCUAUGAUGCCUUCGUUGGAUCUAUUUGGUAGAUGUGUGGUUACAGAGUUGUAGAAACUGGCUAAAAAAUUAUCCCGAGGCUGCUCAGAUGGUUAGUACAGCCAUAAGCUUCCCUUCCCUUUUUGGAUGUCUUAUCUCGCUUUAAUUGAUUGAUACAGUAGGAGCUUAAUAGUGUAUAUAAAUUGAUUAUCAUCUUUUAAGUUGUAGGCAUGGAUUAUAUAUGCUGUGUAUAUGAAAUUCAUUUGUAUAAUUGAGAUGAUGAGCUUUUAUUUAAAGUGCAGGUUUUUCUUUUGAUGUGCCAGCCCUGGAUGUUGUGAAAUGUAUAUCGAAUUGAUUUGCUUUGAUUUGAGUUGUUAGAUGUGAGCAGUAUGAGGCACAUAUCCAGCAGAUGAGUGUUUGUCCGAGGUGGUAUUGGGAAUAAAAACAAAUACGAGCAUUUCUUUCUCUUUACUCGAUUUUAAGAAAUAGCUUCAGCAGGAGUCUUUCCUUCCGCUGGUGUAGUAUGGUCUAAGGAACAGUGUGCAGAUCGACCAACCUUCUGGAUUCCAACUUGAGACUGCCAAAACAGUCUGAUUGAAAGUGGUUAACAAUGAGUCUAUGACCGAUGCGGAGAAAACAAAAUAGUUAAAACAGACUAUGAAAAUCUUAGCUUUUAAUUUAGAAGAACGAACAGUUGAAGAUGAAUAAUGGUAAAUUCCCCAACUGGUCUAUACAAAAGAUGGACUCGGCAUGAAGGGUAGACUUCAAAUUAAGCGUAAUUGAGCAAAGUUAUUAGGUACGCAUCACCAACUUCGAGCUGAGUGCAUUAUUUAUCGUUGAGCAAUGAUUUUUGCAGAUCAUCAUCAUUCUUGAGAUUUAUGGUUUGAAGAACAUUGUUGAAAUUCUUUUUGGUUCUCUAUAUAAAGUAUCUACUGUCAAAAGAUAUACAGUUUCAUAUGGCUGCAGUUGAGAUAAAUUGCUAGCAUCAGUCAAAAAAUAUGUCUGUUGCAUUUAUAUGGAGAAUGCAGUAGUUUCAACAAGUCCAACAUGGUGAUGGAGUAAUAGACUUUUCCAUCAGUUUUUGGAGUUUAGUGGUAACGUGAAAAGCCAUUUAGGAUUUUUGAGAGUGUACAAUGGCUUCUCAUUCAGAAGGUAGAAGAGAAGAAACGUCUUCAAGUAACCUUCAAUCUGCCUGAAAAUUGCAUGAAUAGGCUAAUUAGUGAACGCGGUGAACACUAUCCAAGUGUUGGUGCAGUAAGUAUGCUCAACUAAAUGAGCAAUACUGGAUGAUGCACUUCAUAAUCCUUGCUAACUAGCAGAGGGAAGAGUCGGCUGCUUUCAGAGUAUGAGAGGUUUUGUGAAACAAGGUUUCUGCAGGUCCAUAUCAAAAGAAAGGAAUGUACAUUAGCUCAUUAACUCAGAUCAGGAAACUGCACUAUUCAUGUGGAUUCAGUUUCAGUCAGAAUAUUAGUGAUCAUUGACGAGCUCGACGCUACUAUUUUACAGUUGACCCAUCAGCUAUAUUAAUAUAAUGUCAUUAAUACUUGGAUUUAUUGAUUCUUUAAAUAUGAAAAGAGUCAACUUCAUGUACUUCUAUUUUUUGGAAGUGUCGUAAUGUCUAUAUUUAAUUUGUGUAAAUUAUUUUGACUUAGAAAUGUUAAAGUUUUAUAAUGAUAACUCCUUGACUUUAACUACUAUCUUUUAUUUUCUUUCCAUUUUCAAAUAUUAGUUUUCCUACUCUCACAAAUUACCCACUAAAUUUAUUAUAAAACAUGACUGUAAUUCUAAAAAUUCCCAAAAUUCAAUCCUUAGAAAUAAAAACUAGAUCAGGUCAUGUGAUUAGAAUACUUAAAACAAUUGAGGGGAAGACAAAAAAGUGAAAUAAUAAAGAUUAGCAUAACAAAAUAUAUCUAAAUUAAAAAAAAAUAAGACACAUAAAGUUUAUAAAAUGAAAUAAUUAAGUGGACAAUUUCAAUAAAUUAAAAAUAAUACAUAUAUUAUAGUUUAAUAAGCAAUAAAAAUAAUAAAAGUAUCAAAGUAAUAUCAGUAUAAAUAAAUAAAAUAAUAAAACCAAUGGAUAGUGUAGACAAAAUCUUAGUUUGAUUUAGUUUCUCUGGUAUACACCAAAUAGGCAAAAACUAACCAAUAAAAUCAUAAAAAUAAUAUUUUUAUUUAUAUUAAUAAAAGAUUAAAGUGAUUAUGUCAGAUUAAUAUCUUCGAUUUUUUUCCUAAAUCUAAAUAUCAACCAAUACAAACAAAUAAAAUUAUAUUAUAUCUAGAUAAAUAUGUGUUUAGUAAAAAACAAUUUUAAUAAGUAACAUGCAAAAAAACUAACCAUUUUUCAACAAUGCGUACACUUAAAAAAUCACAAAAUCAUGGAGAUCAAAUAAUCUAGAAAUCUGCAAAAAUAUAUUGACAAUAAUUUUAGUAAUCAAAAAAUAUCUGAAUAUAUCGGAUAUUGAGCAUUUUUCAUUGAUUUUCUCUCCACAAUUAAUAUAUUUGUCGGAUAUUGAGCAUUACAUCCAUAUAGAAUUUCUAAAAUCAUAUUCCAUCUGUUUUAUUUUAUAUAACAUUUAAGGUUAUAUCACACAUAUUUAAAAUAACUAAAUUGUAUGUUAUAUCUCUAAUUAAUAUAUUAUUUUUUUGUAUUUGAUAAUUAAUAAAGUAA
Molecule: long non-coding RNA, 3140 nt
Organism: Brassica rapa (field mustard)
Lineage: Eukaryota; Viridiplantae; Streptophyta; Magnoliopsida; Brassicales; Brassicaceae
Source: RefSeq, a predicted model, not a curated record